RNAcentral lists this ribosomal RNA (464 nucleotides) under uncultured Sharpea sp. RNAcentral's name for it is "bacterial SSU rRNA". It matches the Rfam family "Bacterial small subunit ribosomal RNA", at positions 338 to 795 of the family's 1533-position model. Lineage: Bacteria; Bacillati; Bacillota; Erysipelotrichia; Erysipelotrichales; Coprobacillaceae. The record is from RNAcentral.
CCUACGGGAGGCAGCAGUAGGGAAUUUUCGGCAAUGGGGGGAACCCUGACCGAGCAACGCCGCGUGAGUGAGGAAGGCCUUCGGGCUGUAAAGCUCUGUUGCAGAGGAAGAACGGGAGAGCGAGGAAAUGCGCUUUUCGUGACGGUACUCUGCGAGAAAGCCACGGCUAACUACGUGCCAGCAGCCGCGGUAAUACGUAGGUGGCAAGCGUUAUCCGGAAUCAUUGGGCGUAAAGAGGGAGCAGGCGGACGCGAAGGUCCGUAGUAAAAGCCCGAAGCUAAACUUCGGGCGGCUAUGGAAACCGCGCGCCUAGAGUGCGGAAGAGGAUCGCGGAAUUCCAUGUGUAGCGGUGAAAUGCGUAGAUAUAUGGAGGAACACCGGUGGCGAAGGCGGCGGUCUGGUCCGGCACUGACGCUCAUGCCCGAAAGCGUGGGGAGCAAAUAGGAUUAGAUACCCGAGUAGUC